Pieris brassicae (large cabbage white) is the source of this 1342-nucleotide long non-coding RNA. RefSeq lists it as uncharacterized. The record is from RefSeq and is a predicted model, not a curated record. NCBI's taxonomy places the organism in Eukaryota, Metazoa, Arthropoda, Insecta, Lepidoptera, Pieridae. The transcript has 3 exons.
UUUCCGAAUUCAUCAUUUUUUAUAUUAAACAUCCAUUUGCAAUCUAUAAUAUUUUUGUUAUCUGGCCGUGGUACUAAAGUCCAUGUUUUAUUUAAAAAUAGAGAAUUUAAUUGCACCUUCCCAAUGAACUCUAUCGUCUCGUGUUUUAAUCUCUUGAAACGAAUUUGGUAUUUUACACAAAAUUGAACUAGCACACAUAAGGUUAUCAUCGAUUUCUUUAUAAGAAAUAGGGGGACGACUUUAAGCCUAUCACUCCUACGUGGUUCAAUACAACUGGUUGUGUCCUCAUUAUUUACGACCACUGAAAGAUCAUCAGAAUGUGCAUUUGGUUGUUCAAAUUCGACGAUGUCAUGGUUAGUUUUGCGAAUUUUCUGAGGAACUUCAUAAUCAUCAGAUUUACAGGUCGCAACGCAGGCCUGGAUUGAAGUAAUUUGUCUCAUCUACUAUGACAUCUCUGACAGUAAUAAAUUUUUCGCAUUUAGGAUUCCAAACUUUAUAACCGUUUGGUUCGUAUCCCACAAGAAUACCUUUCCAUGACUUAACAUCGAAUUUUGUCUUAUAUAACUUAUCAUGCACAUAAACUGUUGAACCAAAAAAAUUUAAAUAUUUUAUUUGUGGUUUUUUGUUAUGCCACAUUUACGAAUUCAAUCAUCAUGUGACGUAAUUGGUGAAUAAUAUUGUAAUUGAAAAGGAUAUUUCUCUUUAAAUGUACAAGCUGUGUGUGAUGCAGAAAUAAAAUAUAUUAAUGUUGUUCCCCAUGGCCUGGUGCCGCUCAUGAUGCAACAACUUUUGUAAACUCAGUUCUACAAGUUAAUUCAAAUUUAUUGAUAAGAAGGUAGAACUUGAUAAAUGUGCCAACUAAAUUAACAGGUAUAUUUGUUUAUAGCUUAAUAUCGUACAGGUCUACUGAGAAAUCACUGGAUGGUUGUUAAUAGUGCUUACUCAAAUAUACCUUAUUCAUUAACACCAUUUCUCUGACUGACCAGAGAUAUGAUGAAGUACACAUUAAGAAUAGGAAUACUAUAGAGAGGUAAAUAUAUAGUAUAAUUUAGAGUAUUAAUAAUUAUACUAUGUCAAAAAGUUGCAAGAUAUGUGACCCAAAUGAAACAUGAUGUAAGGUUAAAAUAUUUGUCUUUUCGGAAAAUUUGGAGUAUGGAAAUGUCGCUUUAACAUUGUAUUUAUUACUAGCUUAAGUUCAAGCUAUUGUUAUUGCCACAGCUGUUAUGCAAAAUAUUUGUAAGGAUUAUAAUUUGUAGAUAUACCGGCAGAAGUUUUAGUUCCAACACUUGAUACAGUUUCAAGUCAAGAAGUUAAUGAAGGAAAUCAAGACGUAACUGAAAGA